This is a non-coding RNA of Otolemur garnettii (small-eared galago), 300 nucleotides long. NCBI's taxonomy places the organism in Eukaryota, Metazoa, Chordata, Mammalia, Primates, Galagidae. The record is from Rfam.
GCCAGAUGCAGUGGUGUGCACCUAUAGUCCCAGCUAAUUGGGAGGCUGAGACAGGAGGAUCGCUUGAGUCCAGGAGAUCUAGGCUGUAGUGCACUAUACUGAUUGGGUGUCUGCACUAAGUAUGGUAGCAAUAUGGUGACCUCCUGGGAACAGGGGGCCUCCAGGUUGCCUAAGGAGGAGUGAACUGUCCCAGGUCAGAAACAGAGCAGGUCAAAACUUCCGUGAUGAUCAGUAGUGGGACGGCACCUGUGAAUAGCCACUGCACUCCAGCCUGGGCAACAUAGCAAGACCCUGUCUAAA